This 444-nucleotide ribosomal RNA is filed under the name uncultured organism. Its description in RNAcentral is "partial 16S ribosomal RNA". It matches the Rfam family "Bacterial small subunit ribosomal RNA", at positions 335 to 796 of the family's 1533-position model. The record is from RNAcentral.
ACUCCUGCGGGAGGCAGCAGUGGGGAAUAUUGGACAAUGGGCGCAAGCCUGAUCCAGCCAUGCCGCGUGAGUGAUGAAGGCCCUAGGGUUGUAAAGCUCUUUCACCGGAGAAGAUAAUGACGGUAUCCGGAGAAGAAGCCCCGGCUAACUUCGUGCCAGCAGCCGCGGUAAUACGAAGGGGGCUAGCGUUGUUCGGAAUUACUGGGCGUAAAGCGCACGUAGGCGGAUCGAUCAGUCAGGGGUGAAAUCCCAGGGCUCAACCCUGGAACUGCCUUUGACACUGUCGAUCUGGAGUAUGGAAGAGGUGCGUGGAAUCCCGAGUGUAGAGGUGAAAUUCGUAGAUAUUCGGAGGAACACCAGUGGCGAAGGCGGCUCACUGGUCCAUUACUGACGCUGAGGUGCAAAAGCGUGGGGAGCAAACAGGACUAGAAACCCCGGUAGUCC